UACGGAGGGGGCUAGCGUUGUUCGGAAUUACUGGGCGUAAAGCGCACGUAGGCGGCUUUGUAAGUUAGAGGUGAAAGCCCAGGGCUUAACCCUGGAAUUGCCUUUAAGACUGCAUCGCUAGAAUCGUGGAGAGGUGAGUGGAAUUCCGAGUGUAGAGGUGAAAUUCGUAGAUAUUCGGAAGAACACCAGUGGCGAAGGCGACUCGCUGGACAGGUAUUGACGCUGAGGUGCGAAAGUGUGGGGAGCGAACAGG
Molecule: ribosomal RNA, 253 nt
Filed under: uncultured bacterium
Lineage: Bacteria
Description: partial 16S ribosomal RNA
Rfam family: Bacterial small subunit ribosomal RNA
Source: RNAcentral